This 20-nucleotide ribosomal RNA is filed under the name Mrakia robertii. RNAcentral describes it as "partial 18S ribosomal RNA". The record is from RNAcentral. Lineage: Eukaryota; Fungi; Basidiomycota; Tremellomycetes; Cystofilobasidiales; Mrakiaceae.
GAACCUGCGGAAGGUCACUA